GUGUCAGCAGCCGCGGUAAAACGUAGGAGCCAAGCGUUAUCCGAAUUCACUGGGCGUAAAGCGCGUGCAGGCGGUCUGGUAAGUUGGAUGUGAAAUCUCCUGGCUCAACUGGGAGAGGCCGUUCGAUACUGUCAGACUAGAGGGCGAGAGAGGGAGGUGGAAUUCCGGGUGUAGUGGUGAAAUGCGUAGAUAUCCGGAGGAACACCAGAGGCGAAGGCGACCUCCUGGAUCGCACCUGACGCUCAGACGCGAAAGCUAGGGGAGCGAACGGGAUUAGAAACCCCUGUAGUCC
RNAcentral lists this ribosomal RNA (292 nucleotides) under uncultured bacterium. Its description in RNAcentral is "partial 16S ribosomal RNA". It matches the Rfam family "Bacterial small subunit ribosomal RNA", at positions 505 to 796 of the family's 1533-position model. The record is from RNAcentral.